GUGUCAGCCGCCGCGGUAAUACGUAGGGUGCAAGCGUUAAUCGGAAUUAUUGGGCGUAAAGGGUGCGCAGGCGGAUGUAUAAGUCAGAUGUGAAAUCCCUGGGCUUAACCUAGGAAUUGCGUUUGAAACUAUAUGACUAGAGUGUGAUAGAGGGGAGUGGAAUUCCAUGUGUAGCAGUGAAAUGCGUAGAGAUGUGGAAGAACACCGAUGGCGAAGGCAGCUCCCUGGAUUAACACUGACGCUCAUGCACGAAAGCGUGGGGAGCAAACAGGAUUAGAUACCCUGGUAGUCCACGCCCUAAACGAUGUCAACUAGUUGUCGGAUCUGUUAAAAGAUUUGGUAACGUAGCUAACGCGUGAAGUUGACCGCCUGGGAAGUACGGUCGCAAGAUUAAA
This 395-nucleotide ribosomal RNA is filed under the name uncultured bacterium. Its description in RNAcentral is "bacterial SSU rRNA". It matches the Rfam family "Bacterial small subunit ribosomal RNA", at positions 505 to 898 of the family's 1533-position model. The record is from RNAcentral.